Molecule: non-coding RNA, 177 nt
Organism: Maylandia zebra (zebra mbuna)
Lineage: Eukaryota; Metazoa; Chordata; Actinopteri; Cichliformes; Cichlidae
Source: RefSeq, a predicted model, not a curated record
CCUCGAAGUAGAUUCGUCUUUCCACAUUUUUUCACAGUACAGUGUGAAGCUGGUUAAAGAUGGCGACAUGCAGAGAUGACGAGUGGGCAAAAAACAUAUACCCUGUGACUAAACAAUCCAAAUCUAAUCGCAUCGCCCUGAUGAUCAAUAAUAUAAAGUUUCAUAAUGACAGCUCGG